AUUACAAUGUGUCUGCCAUAUUGACUUGUAGGGCAUACAUCUAACAGGACUAAGGACUAAUGAUGGGAGCAAGGAUUGGGGACUAACAUUUCUUAAGUGGAUUUGUAAAAGCCAUAAAUAAUGAAGGGUGGAGAUUUAUUAUGGAGAGAAAGGGGCAUGAGGAUUGAAGCAUUGGAAGAGAGAUGGCAUGCUCGGAUUAGGGAGUGAAAUAAGAGAAUGCGUGAAGGAAAAACAAAAAGGGAUGAGCUAGUGUUUGUUGCACGA
RNAcentral lists this long non-coding RNA (264 nucleotides) under Elaeis guineensis (African oil palm). RNAcentral describes it as "long non-coding RNA (EGUI_LNC024100)". Lineage: Eukaryota; Viridiplantae; Streptophyta; Magnoliopsida; Arecales; Arecaceae. The record is from RNAcentral.